RNAcentral lists this ribosomal RNA (450 nucleotides) under uncultured bacterium. Its description in RNAcentral is "partial 16S ribosomal RNA". It matches the Rfam family "Bacterial small subunit ribosomal RNA", at positions 354 to 796 of the family's 1533-position model. The record is from RNAcentral.
GUGGGGAAUAUUCCGCAAUGGACGAAAGUCUGACGGAGCAACGCCGCGUGAGUGAUGAAGGUUUUCGGACUGUAAAGCUCUGUUGUUUAGGACGAAAGUGCCUGUUGCAAACAGUUACAGGUAUUGACGGUACUAAACGAGGAAGCCACGGCUAACUACGUGCCAGCAGCCGCGGUAAUACGUAGGUGGCAAGCGUUGUCCGGAAUUAUUGGGCGUAAAGAGCAUGUAGGCGGGAAUCUAAGUCUGUUGUGAAAAUGCGGGGCUCAACCCCGUAUUGCGAUGGAAACUGGGUUUCUUGAGUGCAGGAGAGGAAAGGGGAAUUCCCAGUGUAGCGGUGAAAUGCGUAGAUAUUGGGAGGAACACCAGUGGCGAAGGCGCCUUUCUGGACUGUGUCUGACGCUGAGAUGCGAAAGCCAGGGUAGCGAACGGGAUUAGAUACCCCGGUAGUCC